RNAcentral lists this ribosomal RNA (440 nucleotides) under uncultured bacterium. RNAcentral describes it as "partial 16S ribosomal RNA". It matches the Rfam family "Bacterial small subunit ribosomal RNA", at positions 338 to 795 of the family's 1533-position model. The record is from RNAcentral.
CCUACGGGAGGCAGCAGUGGGGAAUAUUGCACAAUGGGGGAAACCCUGAUGCAGCGACGCCGCGUGAGCGAUGAAGUAUUUCGGUAUGUAAAGCUCUAUCAGCAGGGAAGAAAAUGACGGUACCUGACUAAGAAGCCCCGGCUCACUACGUGCCAGCAGCCGCGGUAAUACGUAGGGGGCAAGCGUUAUACGGAUUUACUGGGUGUAAAUGGGAGGUUGACGGCGUUGCAAGCUAGAUGGGAAAGCCCGGGGAUCAACCCCGGGACUGCCUUUGGAACUGUAUAGCUGGAGUGUCUGAGAGGCAGGCGGAAUGCCUAGUGUAGCGGUGAAAUGCAUAGAUAUUAGGAGGAACUCCAGUGGCGAAGGCAGCCUGCUGGACGAUGACUGACGUUGAGGCUCGAAAGCGUGGGGAUCAAACAGGAUUAGAUACCCGAGUAGUC